GAGCGGAUGACGUCUUUCGGAUUGGGGACGAGCGGGUACUGUUGUGGCUGAGGUGAGUCUCGCCUUGGUAGGGCUCUUCCCAGUAACGGCCUCCUUGGUGCGGUGUGUGAGGCAAAUGUGUCCCGUUGAGUCCCUCACGAAGAGGAGCAGGCCGAGGCGUGGAGCAGAGACUUCCCUGGAGCCCCGCGGGCAGAAAAGGGUCGCGGCUGAAGCUGCAAAAAAAACCAACACCGAAAACCAACAAGCAUCUUUAUGUCCAGAAAACUGCAACGACUUCGUGAUCAUGACUUAAAUCCCUGUUUAGCGGAAACAGAUGCUUCUAGAAAAUGUAUGGAUGACAGUAACUACAAUAAAGAUGCAUGCACCAUCUAUUUCUUAAGAUACAAAAAUUGCAGAAAGUUUUGGAAUGGGAUCUUGAUGCAAAGAAGAAAAGAUGGAAUUAAGCCAAAUAUGCCUACAGCAGAAGAGAGAGACAGGAUUCUGGCAUCAAUGGAAAGAGUACCAUACUAAUAAUUCAGUGUUGCUGUUAAAAGAUAAACACUGGUUUCAUUUUAAGCAAGAGAUUUGGAGCUGGUGUUGAAACAACCAUUAUGUGCUGAAACAAGAAGCUCCACUUCUAUUAUAAUGAGUCUUGCCUGUUUCUCACAGUGCAUCUGUCUGCCUGUCUAUAUUCAGAGAGAAUUAUGCCUGGGUUUGUGUGGGGAAAAAUUGCUCCAUCAAAUUUGAGGGAAACCAUUUAUGUACUGAAGCAGUGUCUGGUGUCAGUUGUGGAGUGGACCAUAGAAUCAUAAAGUUGGAAGAGACCACGGACCAUCCAGGCCAACCUGCUGUCAUGCAAGUACAAUCAAAGCAUCCACUACAGAUGGACAGUCUGUUUAAAAGCCUCCAAAGAAAGAGCCUCCCCCACUCUCUGAGGUAGUGAGCUCCACUGCGGUCAGGAUGAGGGCAAACAAAGUGAAGCUUAAUGCAGAUAAUACAGAAGUGUUCAUGGUCAGCUGAAAGAAAAUCUGUUAUUCAGCUUGCGCUAGAUGGUUUACACUCCUCCUGCAGAUGCAGGUUCAUUGCCAGAGUUUUCCUGUAUUUGAAAGCUCACUCUUUAUUAUCAGAUGAAGGAGGUGAGACAGAUCCAAUACCCAGUGUGAGAGAAGGAGUCUGUUGUCUGGUGGAAAGUGUUCUGAGUCUGUGCCCUCUGCCUCUUAGUUCAGAUUCAUUUAGAGUCCCUUGAUUCACUGGAAUCCAGGGCUUAGCUGCGUUGGCAGCGUAGCAAAAUACAAUAAAAUCCACAAAAUAAAUGAUGUCUUUACUGGGCCAACUAAACGGCAGAAAAUACACCAGCUUUCGAAGUUUCACUGGCUUCAUACUUGGGCAAAGAUGUCAAAAAUAAUACAGAAGAAAAGUGAUGAAUAUUAGAGUCACAGGCCUACAUUUUUCCUAAAAAUUGGUUCAAUGUCUGUCCUGGCUCUUUAAAGGAGAGCAACAAGAAGAUGCAAGGCAUAUGAGCUUGUUUUCCCUUGUAUCUUGCAUUAGAGAUAAAAAAAAGACCAUGAAUAGAGUAACUACUUAGCUAAGAUGUAGAUACAUUGAGCAUUACCUACAAGAUCAUGUGUUUGUAGCUGGGCAGUAUGUUUUUGGUGCAGCAGUAGUGUAGGCUUUAGAGUCACUCUCUUCAUGGAGACAGGUGUUACAAUUGUUGCUGCUGGGCUGUUCUCCAUCUGCUUCAUGGCUCUUUGGUAUGGGAUGGAGAUGUUGAUAUGAAGUUUCGGCACUUCCUGGAGCUUACAGUCCUUUCGCUGUGAUGGUGGCUGCUUCUCAUCCUGCUGGCUGGUCACUUGGCAAGCAUCGCAUGUGAGGGAAACUAUUCUAUUCUUGGUUCUUUUCCACUGCAGCAUGUUUUUUCUGCAGUGGUUUGACACACUUUAUUCCCUAAUUAUUACCUCACUUUUCCUAUAGCAGGAAAAGUUAUUUCUUCAGGUCAAUUUUGGUUUUUUGGUGCACUGGAUUUCUGAGAAAAAAAAUCCCAGAUCCAUGUUGUUUUUGCCAAUGCAUGUGUGACUUACACAGAAACAACUGUCAUAUGUCAUCCCUUAUGGUAUGGUGCUGUCUAUUGUACAAAUGUGUUCUGUGUUUAUCCAAAGACUGCACUAACCUUACAGCUUCCCCUUCCCCCACCUUAUUCCACCUCUGUAUAACAUAUACAGUAUUGGUAACAGAAAUGUGUUUCUAAAAUAAAAGUUGCUGCCUUCUUUUUA
Molecule: RNA transcript, 2249 nt
Organism: Anolis carolinensis (green anole)
Lineage: Eukaryota; Metazoa; Chordata; Lepidosauria; Squamata; Anolidae
Gene: chchd7
Gene name: coiled-coil-helix-coiled-coil-helix domain containing 7
Exons: 6
Source: RefSeq, a predicted model, not a curated record